CCCUUAGAUGUUCUGGGCCGCACGCGCGCUACACUGACGAAUGCAACGAGCUUAUAACCUUGGCCGAAAGGUCUGGGUAAUCUCCAAAUUUCGUCGUGAUGGGGAUAGAUUAUUGCAAUUAUUAAUCUUCAACGAGGAAUGCCUAGUAAGCGCAAGUCAUCAGCUUGCGUUGAUUACGUCCCUGCCCUUUGUACACACCGCCCGUCGCUCCUACCGAUUGAAUGGUCCGGUGAAGCGUUCGGAACGUGGCCUUUGGACGGUUCGCCGUCUGUUGGCUGCGGGAAGUUCGUUAAACCUUAUCAUUUAGAGGAAGGAGAAGUCGUAACA
RNAcentral lists this ribosomal RNA (327 nucleotides) under uncultured eukaryote. RNAcentral describes it as "partial 18S ribosomal RNA". It matches the Rfam family "Eukaryotic small subunit ribosomal RNA", at positions 1470 to 1796 of the family's 1831-position model. The record is from RNAcentral.